RNAcentral lists this ribosomal RNA (450 nucleotides) under uncultured bacterium. RNAcentral's name for it is "partial 16S ribosomal RNA". It matches the Rfam family "Bacterial small subunit ribosomal RNA", at positions 338 to 795 of the family's 1533-position model. The record is from RNAcentral.
CCUACGGGAGGCUGCAGUAAGGAAUAUUGGUCAAUGGAGGAAACUCUGAACCAGCCAUCCCGCGUGAAGGAUGAAGGGGCUCUGCCUUGUAAACUUCUUUUGUCUGGGGCGAAAAAGCUCGAUUUAUCGAGAACUGACGGUACCAGAAGAAUACGCACCGGCUAACUCCGUGCCAGCAGCCGCGGUAAUACGGAGGGUGUAGGCAUUAUCCGGAAUCACGGGGUUUAAGGGGUGCUAAGACGGCAGAGGAGAAAGGCUGUGGCGUAACCAUGGAAUUGCCAUUGAGACUGCAGAGCUUGAAUGAGGUUGAGGUUGGCGGAAUGUGACAUGUAGCGGUGAAAUGCUUAGAUAUGUCAUGGAACACCGAUUGCGAAGGCAGCUGACUGGACCUAUAUUGACGCUGAGGCACGAAAGCGUGGGGAGCGAACAGGAUUAGAUACCCGGGUAGUC